AUGGUGGGGAUGGGAGAAGGGAGCAGGAGGGAUUUCCUGGGUGGUGCAGGGAGGGUUCCUGCCCUGCUCCAGGCUCUGCUCCCCUGGGAACAGAGAAUUCCUCAGCCCAGGCACCCGAGGAGCCUCCGUGUCCUUGUCCUUGUCCUUGUGCUGAGCUGGAGCCCUGGGAAGGGCGGCCCUGGUGCCAGGGAAGGAAAUUCCUGGGUGGGAGGGAAGGUGGCACUGGGAGAGCUCAGCCUGGCCCCAGCUGCAGGAGGGAGCAGGAAAAGAGGGAACCAGGAAAAGAGGGAAUCAGGAGGGAGCAGGAAAAGAAGGAAUCAGGAAAAGAGCAGGAAAAGAGAGAACCAGGAGGGAAUCAGGAGGGACCAGGAAAAGAAGGAAUCAGAUCAGGCAAAAAGGGAUUCAGGAGGGACCAGGAAAAGAGGGAAUCAGGAGAGACCAGGAAAAAAGGGAAUCAGGAGGGAGCAGGAAAAGAAGGAACCAAGAGAGACCAGGAAAAGAAGGAAUCGGGAAAAUAGGGAACCAGGAAGGACCAGGAAAAGAAGGAAUCACGAAAGACCAGGAAAAAAGGGAACCAGGAGAAACCAGGAAAAGAAGGAAUCAGGAGAUCAGGAAAAAAGGGAUUCAGGAAGGAAUCAGGAAAAGAGGGAACCAGGAGGGACCAGGAAAGAAGGGAAUCAGGAGGGACCAGGAAAGAAGGGAAUUGGGAGGGAGCAGGAAAAGGAACCAAGAGGGACCAGGAAAAGAAGGAAACCAGAAGAGACCUGGAAAAAAUGGAACCAGGAGAAGCCAGGAAAAGAGGGAACAAGAAAAAGAAGGAACCAAGAGAGCCCAGGAAAAGAGGGGAGGAGGAAAAGAGGGAAUGGGUCAGGAGGGACCAGGCAAACCCGGCCCCAACCGCGUCCCUGGGGGCUGGGGGCUGUUCCUGCUCUUCCCCAGCCCUGGAAUCAAUUAGGGAACAAUUCAGGCUGGGAAUCCCGGGAAGGGAACAGAGCAGGGCUGGGCAAACCUCAGACAGCGCAGACGUCUGGAGACCCGUCUGGGCCAGAGCUCGGGUGGCACCGGGGGCUCUGAGCUGGCACCGGGAGGAGCCGCCCCGGCAGCCCCGGGAGCUCCGGGCUCGCUCCUUUCCCCUCCCAGCGAGCGCUGCCCAAGGAUUGCGGAGGAAUCGCUGCUGCUGCAGGGGAUGGGGGACAGCCCCACGGAGAGCUGGGGCAGGAGGGGACAGCGCCACGGGGACAGCGCCACGGGGAGCUGGGGCCCGGAGCACAGUGCCAGUGCCAGUGCCAGGUGCCAGUCCCGGGUGCCAGUCUCAGUCCCAGGUGCCAGUCCUGGGUACUAGUCCUGGUCCCAGGUGCCAAUCCCAGCUCCAAGUGCCAGUGCCAGCUCCAGGGGCCAUUCCCAGGUGCCAGUGCCAGCUCCAGGGGCCAGUCCUGGGUGCCAGUCCCAGCUACUAGUCCUGGUCCCAGAUGCCAGUCCCGGGUGCCAAACCUGGCCCCAUGUGCC
Molecule: long non-coding RNA, 1506 nt
Filed under: Serinus canaria (Common canary)
Lineage: Eukaryota; Metazoa; Chordata; Aves; Passeriformes; Fringillidae
Description: lncRNA (ENSSCAG00000011475.1)
Source: RNAcentral